UGCCUAACACAUGCAAGUCGAACGAUGCUUUCGGGCAUAGUGGCGCACGGGUGCGUAACGCGUGGGAAUCUGCCCUUAGGUUCGGAAUAACAGUUAGAAAUGACUGCUAAUACCGGAUGAUGACGUUAAGUCCAAAGAUUUAUCGCCUGAGGAUGAGCCCGCGUAGGAUUAGCUAGUUGGUGUGGUAAAGGCGCACCAAGGCGACGAUCCUUAGCUGGUCUGAGAGGAUGAUCAGCCACACUGGGACUGAGACACGGCCCAGACUCCUACGGGAGGCAGCAGUGGGGAAUAUUGGACAAUGGGCGCAAGCCUGAUCCAGCAAUGCCGCGUGAGUGAUGAAGGCCUUAGGGUUGUAAAGCUCUUUUACCCGAGAUGAUAAUGACAGUAUCGGGAGAAUAAGCCCCGGCUAACUCCGUGCCAGCAGCCGCGGUAAUACGGAGGGGGCUAGCGUUGUUCGGAAUUACUGGGCGUAAAGCGCACGUAGGCGGCUUUGUAAGUUAGAGGUGAAAGCCUGGAGCUCAACUCCAGAACUGCCUUUAAGACUGCAUCGCUUGAAUCCAGGAGAGGUGAGUGGAAUUCCGAGUGUAGAGGUGAAAUUCGUAGAUAUUCGGAAGAACACCAGUGGCGAAGGCGGCUCACUGGACUGGUAUUGA
RNAcentral lists this ribosomal RNA (653 nucleotides) under Sphingomonas sp. RNAcentral's name for it is "bacterial SSU rRNA". It matches the Rfam family "Bacterial small subunit ribosomal RNA", at positions 45 to 743 of the family's 1533-position model. Lineage: Bacteria; Pseudomonadati; Pseudomonadota; Alphaproteobacteria; Sphingomonadales; Sphingomonadaceae. The record is from RNAcentral.